AAAUUUGAGAAGAGGGAAGACAGAUUGAUGAGAAGAGAAUCUGGAUAGGAGGAUAUGUAGAGGGAGCAAGAGAUGGCUGAGCCUGAGCCACAGAUUGAGGCUAGGUCUGGAUCAUCCUCUCCAGUAGUAGCAUUAGAUUCAAUAGCUCCAGCGGAUGCAUAGUUCUUCACUCCAGGAUCCCCCCACACCCCUUUAGUGCAUCAGAGUCACAAUUUUUCUAUAGAAGGGAUCGCUGAUUAGAUUUUGGAUAGGAUGGAGAGGAUGUUUGAUGAUUUCAAGAAUCAUAUUUUACAGAGCCAC
Molecule: long non-coding RNA, 300 nt
Filed under: Elaeis guineensis (African oil palm)
Lineage: Eukaryota; Viridiplantae; Streptophyta; Magnoliopsida; Arecales; Arecaceae
Description: long non-coding RNA (EGUI_LNC030739)
Source: RNAcentral